RNAcentral lists this ribosomal RNA (1553 nucleotides) under Vibrio alginolyticus. Its description in RNAcentral is "bacterial SSU rRNA". It matches the Rfam family "Bacterial small subunit ribosomal RNA". RNAcentral also lists the same sequence under 7 other names. Lineage: Bacteria; Pseudomonadati; Pseudomonadota; Gammaproteobacteria; Vibrionales; Vibrionaceae. The record is from RNAcentral.
AAAUUGAAGAGUUUGAUCAUGGCUCAGAUUGAACGCUGGCGGCAGGCCUAACACAUGCAAGUCGAGCGGAAACGAGUUAUCUGAACCUUCGGGGAACGAUAACGGCGUCGAGCGGCGGACGGGUGAGUAAUGCCUAGGAAAUUGCCCUGAUGUGGGGGAUAACCAUUGGAAACGAUGGCUAAUACCGCAUGAUGCCUACGGGCCAAAGAGGGGGACCUUCGGGCCUCUCGCGUCAGGAUAUGCCUAGGUGGGAUUAGCUAGUUGGUGAGGUAAGGGCUCACCAAGGCGACGAUCCCUAGCUGGUCUGAGAGGAUGAUCAGCCACACUGGAACUGAGACACGGUCCAGACUCCUACGGGAGGCAGCAGUGGGGAAUAUUGCACAAUGGGCGCAAGCCUGAUGCAGCCAUGCCGCGUGUGUGAAGAAGGCCUUCGGGUUGUAAAGCACUUUCAGUCGUGAGGAAGGUGGUGUAGUUAAUAGCUGCAUUAUUUGACGUUAGCGACAGAAGAAGCACCGGCUAACUCCGUGCCAGCAGCCGCGGUAAUACGGAGGGUGCGAGCGUUAAUCGGAAUUACUGGGCGUAAAGCGCAUGCAGGUGGUUUGUUAAGUCAGAUGUGAAAGCCCGGGGCUCAACCUCGGAAUAGCAUUUGAAACUGGCAGACUAGAGUACUGUAGAGGGGGGUAGAAUUUCAGGUGUAGCGGUGAAAUGCGUAGAGAUCUGAAGGAAUACCGGUGGCGAAGGCGGCCCCCUGGACAGAUACUGACACUCAGAUGCGAAAGCGUGGGGAGCAAACAGGAUUAGAUACCCUGGUAGUCCACGCCGUAAACGAUGUCUACUUGGAGGUUGUGGCCUUGAGCCGUGGCUUUCGGAGCUAACGCGUUAAGUAGACCGCCUGGGGAGUACGGUCGCAAGAUUAAAACUCAAAUGAAUUGACGGGGGCCCGCACAAGCGGUGGAGCAUGUGGUUUAAUUCGAUGCAACGCGAAGAACCUUACCUACUCUUGACAUCCAGAGAACUUUCCAGAGAUGGAUUGGUGCCUUCGGGAACUCUGAGACAGGUGCUGCAUGGCUGUCGUCAGCUCGUGUUGUGAAAUGUUGGGUUAAGUCCCGCAACGAGCGCAACCCUUAUCCUUGUUUGCCAGCGAGUAAUGUCGGGAACUCCAGGGAGACUGCCGGUGAUAAACCGGAGGAAGGUGGGGACGACGUCAAGUCAUCAUGGCCCUUACGAGUAGGGCUACACACGUGCUACAAUGGCGCAUACAGAGGGCGGCCAACUUGCGAAAGUGAGCGAAUCCCAAAAAGUGCGUCGUAGUCCGGAUUGGAGUCUGCAACUCGACUCCAUGAAGUCGGAAUCGCUAGUAAUCGUGGAUCAGAAUGCCACGGUGAAUACGUUCCCGGGCCUUGUACACACCGCCCGUCACACCAUGGGAGUGGGCUGCAAAAGAAGUAGGUAGUUUAACCUUCGGGGGGACGCUUACCACUUUGUGGUUCAUGACUGGGGUGAAGUCGUAACAAGGUAGCGCUAGGGGAACCUGGCGCUGGAUCACCUCCUUA